CGGGACGGGUGGGUAAUGUCUGGGAAACGUACUCGAUGAGGGGGGAUAACUACUGGAAACGGUAGCUAAUACCGCAUAACGUCGCAAGACCAAAGAGGGGGACCUUCGGGCCUCUUGCCAUCGGAUGUGCCCAGAUGGGAUUAGCUAGUAGGUGGGGUAACGGCUCACCUAGGCGACGAUCCCUAGCUGGUCUGAGAGGAUGACCAGCCACACUGGAACUGAGACACGGUCCAG
RNAcentral lists this ribosomal RNA (234 nucleotides) under uncultured bacterium. RNAcentral's name for it is "partial 16S ribosomal RNA". It matches the Rfam family "Bacterial small subunit ribosomal RNA", at positions 100 to 334 of the family's 1533-position model. The record is from RNAcentral.